UCCAGGUUCAAGUGCGUAGGCUUGAGAGUUAGGUAAAUCCGGCUCUCUUUAAGGCUGAGACACGACGUCGAGCACCUACGGGUGUGAAGUCAUUGAUGCCAUGCUUCCAGGAAAAGCCUCUAAGCUUCAGAUUGUAAGGAAUCGUACCCCAAACCGACACAGGUGGUCGGGUAGAGAAUACCAAGGCGCUUGAGAGAACUCGGGUGAAGGAACUAGGCAAAAUGGUACCGUAACUUCGGGAGAAGGUACGCUCUUGAUGGUGAAGUCCCUUGCGGAUGGAGCUGACGAGAGUCGCAGAUACCAGGUGGCUGCAACUGUUUAUUAAAAACACAGCACUGUGCAAAAUCGUAAGAUGACGUAUACGGUGUGACGCCUGCCCGGUGCCGGAAGGUUAAUUGAUGGGGUUAGACUUCGGUCGAAGCUCUUGAUCGAAGCCCCGGUAAACGGCGGCCGUAACUAUAACGGUCCUAAGGUAGCGAAAUUCCUUGUCGGGUAAGUUCCGACCUGCACGAAUGGCGUAAUGAUGGCCACGCUGUCUCCACCCGAGACUCAGUGAAAUUGAAAUCGCUGUGAAGAUGCAGUGUACCCGCGGCUAGACGGAAAGACCCCGUGAACCUUUACUACAGCUUGGCACUGAACAUUGACCCUACAUGUGUAGGAUAGGUGGGAGGCUUUGAAGCACGUACGCCAGUAUGUGUGGAGCCGUCCUUGAAAUACCACCCUUGUAGUGUUGAUGUUCUAACGUUGACCCCUUAUCGGGGUUGCGGACAGUGCCUGGUGGGUAGUUUGACUGGGGCGGUCUCCUCCCAAAGAGUAACGGAGGAGCACGAAGGUGGGCUAAUCACGGUUGGACAUCGUGAGGUUAGUGCAAUGGCAUAAGCCCGCUUGACUGCGAGAAUGACAAUUCGAGCAGGUGCGAAAGCAGGUCAUAGUGAUCCGGUGGUUCUGAAUGGAAGGGCCAUCGCUCAACGGAUAAAAGGUACUCCGGGGAUAACAGGCUGAUACCGCCCAAGAGUUCAUAUCGACGGCGGUGUUUGGCACCUCGAUGUCGGCUCAUCACAUCCUGGGGCUGAAGUCGGUCCCAAGGGUAUGGCUGUUCGCCAUUUAAAGUGGUACGCGAGCUGGGUUUAGAACGUCGUGAGACAGUUCGGUCCCUAUCUGCCGUGGGCGUUGGAAGAUUGAAGGGGGCUGCUCCUAGUACGAGAGGACCGGAGUGGACGAACCUCUGGUGUUCGGGUUGUGUCGCCAGACGCAUUGCCCGGUAGCUAAGUUCGGAAUCGAUAACCGCUGAAAGCAUCUAAGCGGGAAGCGAGCCCUGAGAUGAGUCUUCCCUGAUACUUUAAGUAUCCUAAAGGGUUGUCGGAGACUACGACGUUGAUAGGUCAGGUGUGUAAGUGCUGUGAGGCAUUGAGCUAACUGAUACUAAUUGCCCGUGAGGCUUAACCAUACAACACC
RNAcentral lists this ribosomal RNA (1455 nucleotides) under Vibrio parahaemolyticus. Its description in RNAcentral is "partial 23S ribosomal RNA". It matches the Rfam family "Bacterial large subunit ribosomal RNA", at positions 1505 to 2925 of the family's 2925-position model. Lineage: Bacteria; Pseudomonadati; Pseudomonadota; Gammaproteobacteria; Vibrionales; Vibrionaceae. The record is from RNAcentral.